RNAcentral lists this unclassified non-coding RNA (336 nucleotides) under soil metagenome. RNAcentral describes it as "partial contains 5.8S ribosomal RNA, internal transcribed spacer 2, and large subunit ribosomal RNA". The stretch from base 1 to 120 matches the Rfam family "5.8S ribosomal RNA", at positions 35 to 154 of the family's 154-position model. The record is from RNAcentral.
GAUGAAGAACGCAGCGAAAUGCGAUAAGUAGUGUGAAUUGCAGAAUUCAGUGAAUCAUCGAAUCUUUGAACGCACAUUGCGCCCCUUGGUAUUCCAUGGGGCAUGCCUGUUCGAGCGUCAUUUGUACCUUCAAGCUUUGCUUGGUGUUGGGUGUUUGUCUCGCCUUUGCGUGUAGACUCGCCUUAAAAUAAUUGGCAGCCGGCGUAUUGAUUUCGGAGCGCAGUACAUCUCGCGCUUUGCACUCAUAACGACAGCGUCCAAAAGUACAUUUUACACUCUUGACCUCGGAUCAGGUAGGGAUACCCGCUGAACUUAAGUAUCUCAAUAGGCGGAGGA